AACUGAUUCCACUUCCUCCAAAGAGGGAUGAGGAUAAAGACACUUUGGAUGGCCUUUCUUAAGGGCUACAAUUAGCCUGCUGGUAAUUGGGGGCGGCAAUGUCAGAAAGACCACCGGAACGGAAAUUAAGAAACGGUUUCUGACGGACUGAUAUUGUAGUUGCUACUUCCAGUAGACUGAUGCAAUAGCCAGAUACAGACGUGCGCUCUCCAUUAUUGUUCAGUGUUGUGCGUUUAUGCAAACAAAUACCACAACGCAAUAACCUGUGUCAAAUACUACCAUUUGAUCCAUCAUAUCUUCAGAUGAUGUUGUAAUGGAUAUCACUGAUUACCUGAAAAGUACUAUUAAAGAAAAGCUUGAAAGGA
Molecule: long non-coding RNA, 365 nt
Organism: Cyprinus carpio (common carp)
Lineage: Eukaryota; Metazoa; Chordata; Actinopteri; Cypriniformes; Cyprinidae
Exons: 2
Source: RefSeq, a predicted model, not a curated record